This 219-nucleotide ribosomal RNA is filed under the name uncultured bacterium. RNAcentral describes it as "partial 16S ribosomal RNA". It matches the Rfam family "Bacterial small subunit ribosomal RNA", at positions 118 to 351 of the family's 1533-position model. The record is from RNAcentral.
UGGGAACCUUUUCUAUGGUUCGGAAUAGCUCAGGGGAAAACUUGGGGUAAUACCGGAUAAGCCCUUCGGGGAAAGAUUUAUCGCCAUUGGAUGGGCCCGCGUCGGAUUAGCUAGUUGGUGAGGUAAACGGCUCACCCAAGGCAACGAUCCGUAGCUGGUCUGAGAGGAUGAUCAGCCACACUGGGACUGAGACACGGCCCAGACUCCUACGGGAGGCAG